Molecule: long non-coding RNA, 1056 nt
Filed under: Citrus maxima (pomelo)
Lineage: Eukaryota; Viridiplantae; Streptophyta; Magnoliopsida; Sapindales; Rutaceae
Description: long non-coding RNA (CMAX_LNC001674)
Source: RNAcentral
AUUAACCCAAUUAAUUUAGAUAAAUGAUCUUUUUUAUAAUCUAUGCUGGUUAGUCGCAUUUUAAUAUUCUUUUAAUAAAUGCUGGCGGGCUGCUUCGUUCACUAGAAGCAAAGGACAAAUAUAUAUAUUAAGUGUAUGAUCUUGUAAACUUUGUGAACCUCACAUUGAACAUUACAUACGAAGUUUAGAAGAAAGAUAUAAAGAUCAAAUCGCGCUGCUUCAAAUGAAUUCUGCUUCCAGCUUCCUUGUCAAAUUCAAUCCUUUGCGACAGCCUGGUAAGUCUCUUCUCUUGUUUUCCUUCUAAUCUAUUCUGAUCUUAGUUCAACGUACACUUUGUAAAGCCAUUUUGAUGGCGCAUUUUUAUAACGAGUAUGUUCUUCGGUAGUCUCUUGUUCUAAUCUUGCAUAUCCUUACAUCAUAUGGCCGCUUGCACUGUCUGAGCAUGAUUUGUGAAGAGAAGAGUUGAAGGAGGAAAAAGAUGAGAAGAGAAGAGAAGACAAGAAUUGAGGUGGCGGCUAGCUUGUGAAAGUGUGAAAUUAGGGCAUCUCUCUUUUCUUUUUCUUUUUUUUUUUUUAUUCCGGGUUCGGGUUUCGGAUAUACGGGUUCAUCCGAACCCGGAACCAGACCCAAAUAUGUCUGGGUCAAUAAAAUUUAAUUCGAAUAUGGAUUUAUUUUAAUCCGGUACGGGUUGAAUCCGAACUGAAUUAUCCAGAUUCGUCCGGAUCCGAUCCGAAUCCGGGUUAAAUUACCAUCCUUAAUUAUAAUAAUUAAAUAAGUUCUUAAACUAUCCUUGAAUUGAAUGCAAAAUUAAAAUGUAAAAUCCCAGUCGAACGACAAUCGUCUAAUCCCUAUCAAUAAGUCCUCGUUAUUAGCAACUUAUUUAAGUAUUCAAAUGUACAAUCACAAUUGACCAAAAUUGACCAUUAGGAAACUUUAUAUUGAAUGCGAGAAUAUCGUUUCAACCUUACAAUGUGUAAAAGACCAGUGAAAAAACAAAAAAAUCAUCAACUUUGUUAUAUUUGUUUGAUAAUAUUUUAUAUUCUCUGGCCCUUUCAG